RNAcentral lists this ribosomal RNA (497 nucleotides) under uncultured bacterium. Its description in RNAcentral is "partial 16S ribosomal RNA". It matches the Rfam family "Bacterial small subunit ribosomal RNA", at positions 28 to 507 of the family's 1533-position model. The record is from RNAcentral.
GAUGAACGCUGGCGGCGUGCCUAAUACAUGCAAGUCGAGCGAACGGACGAGAAGCUUGCUUCUCUGAUGUUAGCGGCGGACGGGUGAGUAACACGUGGAUAACCUACCUAUAAGACUGGGGUAACUUCGGGAAACCGGAGCUAAUACCGGCUAAUAUUUUGAACCGCAUGGUUCAAAAGUUCAAGAGAGUCUUGCUGUCACUUAUAGAUGGAUCCGCGCUGCAUUAGCUAGUUGGUAAGGUAACGGCUUACCAAGGCAACGAUGCAUAGCCGACCUGAGAGGGUGAUCGGCCACACUGGAACUGAGACACGGUCCAGACUCCUACGGGAGGCAGCAGUAGGGAAUCUUCCGCAAUGGGCGAAAGCCUGACGGAGCAACGCCGCGUGAGUGAUGAAGGUCUUCGGAUCGUAAAACUCUGUUAUUAGGGAAGAACAGAUGUGUAAGUAACUGUGCACAUCUUGACGGUACCUAAUCAGAAAGCCACGGCUAACUACGUG